GAACACAAACAGAAAAUCCAGUUACCCCUGACACUCCAGUGCUGCUGGCCUGUCCCCAUGGCUGGGUCGGGCACCGCGGGAUCUGCUACUUCCUCUCGAGGGAUCAGCUCAGCUGGGAUCAGGCUCAGGCUCGGUGCUCUGAGCUCGGGGCCUCGCUGGCCGUGCUCCAGGACUGGGAAAUGGAGUUCCUCUUCAUUCACAGCGCAAAGAUCGAUCACUGGCUCGGGCUGCGCAGACGGGGCCGGGAGCUGCAGUGGGGGGACGGCAGCAGCUUCAACUCCUCGGUUCCUGUCCUGGGCAAUGGAGGGUGCCUGUUCCUGGCUGAGGACAAUUACCUCAGGAGCGCUCCCUGCUCCAAUCCGUUGCUCUACGUCUGCAGCAGACCCCAAACUCGCCUGUGAUAGAGGGGGAAGGAAGGGCCUUCUCUG
Molecule: RNA transcript, 428 nt
Organism: Malurus melanocephalus (red-backed fairy wren)
Lineage: Eukaryota; Metazoa; Chordata; Aves; Passeriformes; Maluridae
Gene name: C-type lectin domain family 2 member B-like
Exons: 3
Source: RefSeq, a predicted model, not a curated record